GGAGAGAUGCCAGAGCGGUUGAAUGGGGCGGUCUCGAAAACCGUUGUCGGGGUGACUCGACCGGGGGUUCGAAUCCCCCUCUCUCCGCCA
This 90-nucleotide transfer RNA is filed under the name Gemmatimonadota bacterium. Its description in RNAcentral is "Gemmatimonadetes bacterium (beach sand metagenome) tRNA-Ser". It matches the Rfam family "tRNA". Rfam says of the family: Transfer RNA (tRNA) molecules are approximately 80 nucleotides in length. Their secondary structure includes four short double-helical elements and three loops (D, anti-codon, and T loops). Lineage: Bacteria; Pseudomonadati; Gemmatimonadota. The record is from RNAcentral.